Molecule: transfer RNA, 74 nt
Filed under: candidate division Kazan bacterium RIFCSPHIGHO2_01_FULL_44_14
Lineage: Bacteria
Also listed under: 1 other name
Description: tRNA-Cys
Rfam family: tRNA
About the family: Transfer RNA (tRNA) molecules are approximately 80 nucleotides in length. Their secondary structure includes four short double-helical elements and three loops (D, anti-codon, and T loops).
Source: RNAcentral
GGUCUGGUGGCCGAGUGGUUAGGCAAGGGUCUGCAAAACCCUGUACAGCGGUUCGAUUCCGCUCCAGACCUCCA